GCCUCGGUGGUGUAGCCCGGCCAGGGGAUACGCUGACAGCAUAAGGGGCUUUCGACCCCUUGACCCGGGUGGCUGCCAUAAUGGGCAUGCUAGGGAGUUCAAAUCCCGGCCGAGGCACCA
This 120-nucleotide transfer RNA is filed under the name Candidatus Jordarchaeia archaeon. RNAcentral describes it as "tRNA-Glu". The record is from RNAcentral. Lineage: Archaea; Promethearchaeati; Candidatus Jordarchaeia.